RNAcentral lists this ribosomal RNA (388 nucleotides) under uncultured bacterium. Its description in RNAcentral is "bacterial SSU rRNA". It matches the Rfam family "Bacterial small subunit ribosomal RNA", at positions 28 to 416 of the family's 1533-position model. The record is from RNAcentral.
GACGAACGCUGGCGGCGUGCUUAACACAUGCAAGUCGAAGCGGUAAGGCCCUUUCGGGGGUACACGAGCGGCGAACGGGUGAGUAACACGUGGGUGACCUGCCCUCAGCUCUGGGAUAAGCCUGGGAAACCGGGUCUAAUACUGGAUAUGACUCCAUGACGCAUGUUGUGGGGUGGAAAGCCUUGUGCGGCUGAGGAUGGGCCCGCGGCCUAUCAGCUUGUUGGUGAGGUAACGGCUCACCAAGGCUUCGACGGGUAGCUGGUCUGAGAGGACGAUCAGCCACACUGGCACUGCGACACGGGCCAGACUCCUACGGGAGGCAGCAGUAAGGAAUAUUGCGCAAUGGGCGAAAGCCUGACGCAGCGACGCCGCGUGGGGGAUGAAGGUC